UCCAAGGCUGUUGGUUUUCUUAUCUCUGCUUUUAGAGAGAGAGGACGCAAGUCAGAGAGUUUAUGGAAAUUGCUCGGGAUACCAAGGUUCUCCCACAGACCGGAUCUCCAGGAGAGCCUGCUCGUCAUCCUUUCAGCAUCCAGAGGGGUCGGGUGGGGCACACCAUGACAGCUGGCCUGGCAAGGGAGGCAGCACCCGGGGACCUGAGGGUGGUGGUGAAGGGACCUAGAUGAACCAGAUGGCGGUGAAAUGAAACUCGUGUACCAAAUUUUGAAUGCUGAGCUGCUCGUUUCCCUAUCUUCUCAAGGUGGAACCGGGUUGUGACUUCACCCUUUUUCAAGAGGUGAAUUUAUCAUCAGGAAAAGACUAAUGCCAGAAAGCAGUCCCCUUCAAAGAACUCUAAGCUGUCAUCUAUACAAAUGCCAAUGGACUUCAGAGAAAAAUAAAACUGAAACUAUAGAAGGAGCUAUCCAGGGAAGCCCUUACUUGGCAAAACUACAUGAGAAUGUAUGAAUGACUCCAGAAUAAAGUUGGUUG
Molecule: long non-coding RNA, 537 nt
Organism: Oryctolagus cuniculus (rabbit)
Lineage: Eukaryota; Metazoa; Chordata; Mammalia; Lagomorpha; Leporidae
Source: RefSeq, a predicted model, not a curated record